This is a non-coding RNA of Hypoxylon sp. FL0890, 104 nucleotides long. The record is from the annotation of a GenBank genome assembly. Lineage: Eukaryota; Fungi; Ascomycota; Sordariomycetes; Xylariales; Hypoxylaceae.
GGUGAGAUGGCCGAGUUGGUCCAUGGCGCGAGGUUAAGGUAUUAAAAUCUUAACACGAUUUCCUCGUGGGGAAACCCUCGUGGGUUCGAAUCCCACUCUCAUCA